Molecule: ribosomal RNA, 253 nt
Filed under: uncultured bacterium
Lineage: Bacteria
Description: partial 16S ribosomal RNA
Rfam family: Bacterial small subunit ribosomal RNA
Source: RNAcentral
UACGGAGGGUGCAAGCGUUAUCCGGAUUCACUGGGUUUAAAGGGUGCGUAGGAGGGCAGGUAAGUCAGUGGUGAAAUCUCCAAGCUUAACUUGGAAACUGCCGUUGAUACUAUCUGUCUUGAAUACCGUGGAGGUGAGCGGAAUAUGUCAUGUAGCGGUGAAAUGCUUAGAUAUGACAUAGAACACCAAUUGCGAAGGCAGCUCGCUACACGAAUAUUGACUCUGAGGCACGAAGGCGUGGGGAUCAAACAGG